UCUACCUGACUAGGAAGCCGUGUGCGGUGAGGUGUGUGUAAGGCGCCGGACUUGUCACCAGUACCUGUCGUGGCCAUCGUUCUGUGAAGAAGACACUCUAGACCCAGCAGAUAAUAUGCUGAUGCUACAUUCCCUUCUAUUCCAAUGCUAUAUGAAAGUGAGAAGGACCGUGUGAGCUUUAGAGCUUGGAGGAUUUUGGACUUUCUGUCUCCUCAUUGACAUCCUAGCAGUACCCCUGGAAAAGUUAAUAGCAAUGUCUGCAUCAGGAGCCAAGGACAGAAUGGAUGCAGAAUCAAGGCUGUACAAGGGGCCCAGAAGAAGCUCCCCGAUGCCUAAGAGGAACAGCUUGAGGAUUCCAGCAAAAGCACUUCCAGGAAUUGGGAGGAAGCUGAGACCCAAAGCAGGAAAGUGACUUGCCC
Vombatus ursinus (common wombat) is the source of this 419-nucleotide long non-coding RNA. RefSeq lists it as uncharacterized. NCBI's taxonomy places the organism in Eukaryota, Metazoa, Chordata, Mammalia, Diprotodontia, Vombatidae. The record is from RefSeq and is a predicted model, not a curated record. The transcript has 3 exons.